This 273-nucleotide ribosomal RNA is filed under the name uncultured prokaryote. RNAcentral describes it as "partial 16S ribosomal RNA". It matches the Rfam family "Bacterial small subunit ribosomal RNA", at positions 524 to 796 of the family's 1533-position model. The record is from RNAcentral.
UACGAAGGGUGCGAGCGUUAAUCGGAAUUACUGGGCGUAAAGCGCGCGUAGGUGGUUGAGUAAGCGAUCUGUGAAAGCCCUGGGCUUAACCUGGGAACUGCAGGUCGAACUGCUUGGCUAGAGUAUGGUAGAGGGGUGUGGAAUUUCCUGUGUAGCGGUGAAAUGCGUAGAUAUAGGAAGGAACAUCAGUGGCGAAGGCGACACCCUGGACCGAUACUGACACUGAGGCGCGAAAGCGUGGGUAGCGAACAGGAUUAGAAACCCCUGUAGUCC